AGUGAGGUGCCUGAUAAAAGGGUUACUUUGAUAGAGUAGAUCAUGUAAGAUAAAUCUUACCCUUACUA
Molecule: transfer RNA, 68 nt
Filed under: Balanus balanus
Lineage: Eukaryota; Metazoa; Arthropoda; Thecostraca; Balanomorpha; Balanidae
Description: tRNA-Ile
Source: RNAcentral